RNAcentral lists this transfer RNA (68 nucleotides) under Trixiphichthys weberi (blacktip tripodfish). Its description in RNAcentral is "tRNA-Ser(AGY)". Lineage: Eukaryota; Metazoa; Chordata; Actinopteri; Tetraodontiformes; Triacanthidae. The record is from RNAcentral.
GAGAGAGGCAUUGUAGCAACGAGAACUGCUAAUUCUCGCAACCAGGGUUGAAUCCCCCGGCUCACUCG